RNAcentral lists this ribosomal RNA (866 nucleotides) under uncultured bacterium. RNAcentral describes it as "bacterial SSU rRNA". It matches the Rfam family "Bacterial small subunit ribosomal RNA", at positions 40 to 916 of the family's 1533-position model. The record is from RNAcentral.
CGGCGUGCCUAACACAUGCAAUUCGAACGGAGUGUUGAGAGCUUGCUUUUAACACUUAGUGGCGGACGGGUGAGUAAUGUAUGAGCAACCUGCCUUUCAGAGGGGGACAACAGUUGGAAACGACUGCUAAUACCGCAUAAUGUAUUUCGGAGGCAUCUCUGGGAUACCAAAGGAGCAAUCCGCUGAAAGAUGGGCUCAUAUCUGAUUAGCUAGUUGGUGAGGUAACGGCUCACCAAGGCUGCGAUCAGUAGCCGGACUGAGAGGUUGAACGGCCACAUUGGGACUGAGAUACGGCCCAGACUCCUACGGGAGGCAGCAGUGGGGAAUAUUGGGCAAUGGGCGAAAGCCUGACCCAGCAACGCCGCGUGAAGGAAGAAGGUCUUCGGAUUGUAAACUUCUUUUAUGAGGGACGAAGGACGUGACGGUACCUCAUGAAUAAGCCACGGCUAACUACGUGCCAGCAGCCGCGGUAAUACGUAGGUGGCAAGCGUUAUCCGGAUUUACUGGGUGUAAAGGGAGCGCAGGCGGGAUAGCAAGUCAGCUGUGAAAACUAUGGGCUCAACCCAUAAACUGCAGUUGAAACUGUUAUUCUUGAGUGGAGUAGAGGCAAGCGGAAUUCCGAGUGUAGCGGUGAAAUGCGUAGAUAUUCGGAGGAACACCAGUGGCGAAGGCGGCUUGCUGGGCUCUAACUGACGCUGAGGCUCGAAAGUGUGGGGAGCAAACAGGAUUAGAUACCCUGGUAGUCCACACUGUAAACGAUGAUUGCUAGGUGUGGGGGGUCUGACCCCCUCCGUGCCGGAGUUAACGCAAUAAGCAAUCCACCUGGGGAGUACGGCCGCAAGGUUGAAACUCAAAUGAAUUGACGG